RNAcentral lists this ribosomal RNA (253 nucleotides) under uncultured bacterium. RNAcentral describes it as "partial 16S ribosomal RNA". It matches the Rfam family "Bacterial small subunit ribosomal RNA", at positions 524 to 776 of the family's 1533-position model. The record is from RNAcentral.
UACAGAGGUCUCAAGCGUUGUUCGGAUUCAUUGGGCGUAAAGGGUGCGUAGGCGGCGCGGUAAGUCGGGUGUGAAAUCUCGGAGCUUAACUCCGAAACUGCAUUCGAUACUGCCGAGCUUGAGGACUGGAGAGGAGACUGGAAUUUACGGUGUAGCGGUGAAAUGCGUAGAUAUCGUAAGGAAGACCAGUGGCGAAGGCGGCUUUCUGGACAGAUACCGACGCUGAGACACGAAAGCUAGGGGAGCAGACAGG